ACAGAGGUCCCGAGCGUUGUUCGGAUUUAUUGGGCGUAAAGGGUGCGUAGGCGGCGGAGUAAGUUGGGUGUGAAAUCCCGGGGCUCAACCUCGGAAUUGCAUUCAAUACUGCUUCGCUCGAGUACUGGAGAGGAGGCUGGAAUUUACGGUGUAGCAGUGAAAUGCGUAGAUAUCGGAAGGAACAUCAGUGGCGAAAGCGACUUCCUGGACCAGUACCGACGUUCAGGCACGAAAGCGUGGGGAGCAAACAGGA
Molecule: ribosomal RNA, 253 nt
Filed under: uncultured prokaryote
Description: partial 16S ribosomal RNA
Rfam family: Bacterial small subunit ribosomal RNA
Source: RNAcentral